This 484-nucleotide ribosomal RNA is filed under the name uncultured bacterium. Its description in RNAcentral is "partial 16S ribosomal RNA". It matches the Rfam family "Bacterial small subunit ribosomal RNA", at positions 30 to 507 of the family's 1533-position model. The record is from RNAcentral.
AUUGAACGCUGGCGGCAGGCCUAACACAUGCAAGUCGAGCGGAUGAAGGUAGCUUGCUCCUGGAUUCAGCGGCGGACGGGUGAGUAAUGCCUAGGAAUCUGCCUGGUAGUGGGGGAUAACGUCCGGAAACGGGCGCUAAUACCGCAUACGUUCUGAGGGAGAAAGUGGGGGAUCUUCGGACCUCACGCUAUCAGAUGAGCCUAGGUCGGAUUAGCUAGUUGGUGGGGUAAAGGCCUACCAAGGCGACGAUCCGUAACUGUUCUGAGAGGAUGAUCAGUCACACUGGAACUGAGACACGGUCCAGACUCCUACGGGAGGCAGCAGUGGGGAAUAUUGGACAAAGGGCGAAAGCCUGAUCCAGCCAUGCCGCGUGUGUGAAGAAGGUCUUCGGAUUGUAAAGCACUUUAAGUUGGGAGGAAGGGCAGUAAGUUAAUACCUUGCUGUUUUGACGUUACCAACAGAAUAAGCACCGGCUAACUUCGUG